AGAGUUUGAUCCUGGCUCAGAAUGAACGCUGGCGGCGUGCCUAACACAUGCAAGUCGGAUGUGCCGCAAGGUGCAUGGCAGACGGGUGAGUAACGCGUAGGGAAUCUACCUCUUUGUGGGGAAUAACGCUCCGAAAGGAGUGGUAAUACCGCAUGAGACCGAUGUCUGGGAUGACAUCGGUGAAACCUGGGGACCGGUAACGGCCUGGGGCAAGGAGAGGAUCCUGCGUCUGAUUAGCUAGUUGGCGGGGUAAUGGCCCACCAAGGCGACGAUCAGUAGCCGGCCUGAGAGGGUGAUCGGCCACACUGGAACUGAGACACGGUCCAGACUCCUACGGGAGGCAGCAGUGGGGAAUUUUGCGCAAUGGGCGAAAGCCUGACGCAGCAACGCCGCGUGGGUGAUGAAGGUCUUCGGACUGUAAAACCCUGUCGUCAGGGACGAAGAUGUAUACGUUAAUAGCGUGUGCAUUUGACGGUACCUGGAGAGGAAGCCCCGGCUAACUCUGUGCCAGCAGCCGCGGUAAUACAGAGGGGGCAAGCGUUAUUCGGAAUUAUUGGGCGUAAAGGGCGCGUAGGCGGUUUUUUAAGUCAGAUGUGUAAUCCCCGAGCUUAACUUGGGAACUGCAUCUGAGACUGGAAGGCUAGAGUACUGGAGAGGGUGGUGGAAUUCCUCGUGUAGCGGUGAAAUGCGUAGAGAUGAGGAGGAACACCAGUGGCGAAGGCGGCCACCUGGACAGUAACUGACGCUGAGGCGCGAAAGUGUGGGUAGCAAACAGGAUUAGAUACCCUGGUAGUCCACGCUGUAAACGAUGAACACUUGGUGUGGAGGGAGUUGACCCCUUCCGUGCCGGAGCUAACGCGUUAAGUGUUCCGCCUGGGGAGUACGGUCGCAAGGCUGAAACUUAAAGGAAUUGACGG
RNAcentral lists this ribosomal RNA (917 nucleotides) under uncultured bacterium. Its description in RNAcentral is "bacterial SSU rRNA". It matches the Rfam family "Bacterial small subunit ribosomal RNA", at positions 8 to 916 of the family's 1533-position model. The record is from RNAcentral.